Molecule: transfer RNA, 79 nt
Filed under: Ephemerocybe angulata
Lineage: Eukaryota; Fungi; Basidiomycota; Agaricomycetes; Agaricales; Psathyrellaceae
Description: Coprinellus angulatus tRNA-Asn
Source: RNAcentral
UGCCCCUUGGCUGAGUUGGUUACAGCGUCCGACUGUUAUCGCCAUCGGAAGGUCGUGAGUUCGAGCCUCACAGGGGCAG